UGGGGAAUAUUGCACAAUGGGGGAAACCCUGAUGCAGCAACGCCGCGUGAGUGAUGAAGGCCUUCGGGUUGUAAAGCUCUGUCUUUGCGGACGAUAAUGACGGUACCCAAGGAGGAAGCCACGGCUAACUACGUGCCAGCAGCCGCGGUAAUACGUAGGUGGCAAGCGUUGUCCGGAUUUACUGGGCGUAAAGGGAGCGUAGGUGGAUAUUUAAGUGGGAUGUGAAAUCCCCGGGCUUAACCUGGGGGCUGCAUUCCAAACUGGAUGUCUAGAGUGCAGGAGAGGAGAGUGGAAUUCCUAGUGUAGCGGUGAAAUGCGUAGAGAUUAGGAAGAACACCAGUGGCGAAGGCGACUCUCUGGACUGUAACUGACACUGAGGCUCGAAAGCGUGGGGAGCAAACA
This 402-nucleotide ribosomal RNA is filed under the name uncultured bacterium. Its description in RNAcentral is "bacterial SSU rRNA". It matches the Rfam family "Bacterial small subunit ribosomal RNA", at positions 355 to 774 of the family's 1533-position model. The record is from RNAcentral.